RNAcentral lists this unclassified non-coding RNA (327 nucleotides) under Hevea brasiliensis (rubber tree). Lineage: Eukaryota; Viridiplantae; Streptophyta; Magnoliopsida; Malpighiales; Euphorbiaceae. The record is from RNAcentral.
GCUAAGUUUCUUGAGGGUGAAAAACUCUUCAUUGUGCUACUGUUUGCCCUUGGUCUCUUCUAUGUUUUCCCUGUGCUUUCUAUGCUUUGGUAUGAGAGCAAGUCCUAUUAAUUAUUUUGUUGCACUAUAAGAAAAGAUAGUAUCUUUAAACGUCUAUGUUCUGAUGGAAAAAAAACAAUGGAGGCAAGUAGCACAUAUAUCAAACCAGGGUUUAAUUUUGAUUUCAAUAUGUUUGAACUUCCAAGACACUGUCAAGACUCUAAAUUCUUUGGUUGCAGAAUACCAUUUCUUGGCCUAAUUUUGUUCUGCUUAUAAGAUUGCAGAGCU